GAAAAAGUACUUCUAAACAUGAGCAUGCAGGCUCUCCACUGAUACAACUCUAAUCUCCACCAGCUACAAACAAGACAACUCUACUGGCCAAGUAUGUUGACAAGUUAGGCCGCCAGCGCCAAGAACAAAGAUAAAGACGGAUACAAAUGUAGACACACAGCUAAACAAAGAUAAACAAAGACAAGCAAACAUGAGCAUUUAGGUCAUCUGAGGCCAGAAAGUUAAAGAUCUAUGUAAAUACUUGCUUGGUCACAGAUCUGGCUGUAACAACGUCGGAACUCUGCCAGUAGUGGUUGCUAUAGCAACAGAAUGUUCAACUGUAACCAACUACUGGUGGCAGAAUGAGACGUAUUAAUGUGAUGCAAAGUAACUAAGUACGUUUACUCAGGUACUACUGUACUUAAGUACAAUUUUGAGGUACUUCUACUAUGAGCAUCUGGAAGAUAGCCUACAUCGCUGCGCUGCUCUUGUGGCCAUCGUUUUCACACACUUGACGUUUGUGCCUCGGGAAUGUGGUCAGCUGAUGACUCAGGAAAAGUCUGAAUCGAGAGCUGUUGUUUCCUGCAUGCCAGACUGUGGUGGUGGAGAUGACAGCUAAUGAAAAACCCUCCCAGCUAUUUUUGACCUUUUCCUGUUGACUACGUGUUCACUGUCAUACGCUCCGGCACUCUUAACAGUGGCCAGAUGUCCCAGAUGCCUGGGCGGGCUCU
This is a long non-coding RNA of Sebastes umbrosus (honeycomb rockfish), 710 nucleotides long. RefSeq lists it as uncharacterized. NCBI's taxonomy places the organism in Eukaryota, Metazoa, Chordata, Actinopteri, Perciformes, Sebastidae. The transcript has 3 exons. The record is from RefSeq and is a predicted model, not a curated record.